This 635-nucleotide ribosomal RNA is filed under the name uncultured bacterium. RNAcentral's name for it is "bacterial SSU rRNA". It matches the Rfam family "Bacterial small subunit ribosomal RNA", at positions 67 to 693 of the family's 1533-position model. The record is from RNAcentral.
CGGUAACGAUGGAAGCUUGCUUCCAGGCGACGAGUGGCGGACGGGUGAGUAAUGCUUAGGAAUCUGCCCAGUAGCGGGGGACAACUCGGAGAAAUCCGAGCUAAUACCGCAUACGCCCUACGGGGGAAAGCAGGGGAUCUUCGGACCUUGCACUAUUGGAUGAGCCUAAGUCAGAUUAGCUUGUUGGUGGGGUAAAAGCCUACCAAGGCGACGAUCUGUAGCUGGUCUGAGAGGACGAUCAACCACACUGGGACUGAGACACGGCCCAGACUCCUACGGGAGGCAGCAGUGGGGAAUAUUGGACAAUGGGGGCAACCCUGAUCCAGCAAUGCCGCGUGUGUGAAGAAGGCCUGCGGGUUGUAAAGCACUUUCAGUAAGGAAGAAAACCUCAGGGUUAAUAACCCUGUGGCUUGACAUUACUUACAGAAGAAGCACCGGCUAACUCCGUGCCAGCAGCCGCGGUAAUACGGAGGGUGCGAGCGUUAAUCGGAAUUACUGGGCGUAAAGCGUGCGUAGGUGGCAUGGUCAGUCGGAUGUGAAAGCCCCGGGCUUAACCUGGGAAUUGCAUUCGAUACUGCCAAGCUAGAGUAUGUUAGAGGAAAGUGGAAUUCCCGGUGUAGCGGUGAAAUGCGUAG